RNAcentral lists this unclassified non-coding RNA (540 nucleotides) under Hevea brasiliensis (rubber tree). Lineage: Eukaryota; Viridiplantae; Streptophyta; Magnoliopsida; Malpighiales; Euphorbiaceae. The record is from RNAcentral.
UCUAUCUGGAAAAUGGCAUAUGAAACAAUUCAACAUCUUUGAAAUAUUAAUUCUUGAGGGUUCAGACUUGAAGUUUCCUGCAAGUAUCUGAAUUUGUGCACUCAUAUAUUUAACUCUCAAAGACGAAUGCAACCCAAACAAGAAGGCAUCUGAGAAGAAAACUCAUUACAUGCAUGACCAGCACCUUCAAUCUUGUUUGUAGUAAUCAUCACAAGUCAACUGCCAAGCACUGCACAAUUGAGGCACCAUUAGGAACAACAAGAAUCAUAUCCGACCACAAAAUGUUCCCACUCAACCCUCCAUCUUUAUCCUUCCACACUUCGAUCUCCGCACACAUAAUGUCAACCUCCUUACCCCUCCCUUUGCCUUCCCACACAACACACAACCUGUCAUCAAAAUUCACCAUUGUGGCACCACACAGAAACUUAGGCAACCCCUUAUCCACCCCUUUUAAUUCCUUCCACACAUCUUCCUUCACAUCAUACCCUCUAAUCUUACCCAAAUAAUCAUAACAAUACAACAGCCCUCCCACCACUGCCG